Long non-coding RNA from Oncorhynchus keta (chum salmon), 292 nucleotides. RefSeq lists it as uncharacterized. The record is from RefSeq and is a predicted model, not a curated record. Lineage: Eukaryota; Metazoa; Chordata; Actinopteri; Salmoniformes; Salmonidae. The transcript has 3 exons.
ACUGUGUGGUAGGUAGCCUCAUGGUUCAGCUAGGCCACUAGUCACCGUGUUUCAACUGGUCACUGUGUGGUAGGUAGCCUCAUGGUUCAGCUAGGCCACGAGUCACCGUGUUUCAACUGGUCACUGUGUGGUAGGUAGCCUCAUGGUUCAGCUAGGCCACGAGUCACCGUGUUUCAACUGGUCACUGUGUGGUAGGUAGCCUCAUGGUUCAGCUAGGCCACGAGUCACCGUGUUUCAACUGGUCACUGUGUGGUAGGUAGCCUCAUGGUUCAGCUAGGCCACUAGUCACCGU